CGAAUCAUCUGGAAAGAUGAAUCAAAGAAGGUAAUAAUCCUGUAGUCGAAAAUGUUGUCUCUCUUGAGUGGAUCCUGAGUACGACGGAGCACGUGAAAUUCCGUCGGAAUCUGGGAGGACCAUCUCCUAAGGCUAAAUACUCUCUAGUGACCGAUAGUGAACCAGUACCGUGAGGGAAAGGUGAAAAGCACCCCGGAAGGGGAGUGAAAUAGAACCUGAAACCGUGUGCUUACAAGUAGUCAGAGCCCGUUAAUGGGUGAUGGCGUGCCUUUUGUAGAAUGAACCGGCGAGUUACGAUUUGAUGCAAGGUUAAGCAGUAAAUGUGGAGCCGUAGCGAAAGCGAGUCUGAAUAGGGCGUUUAGUAUUUGGUCGUAGACCCGAAACCAGGUGAUCUACCCUUGGUCAGGUUGAAGUUCAGGUAACACUGAAUGGAGGACCGAACCGACUUACGUUGAAAAGUGAGCGGAUGAACUGAGGGUAGCGGAGAAAUUCCAAUCGAACCUGGAGAU
Molecule: ribosomal RNA, 509 nt
Filed under: Staphylococcus aureus
Lineage: Bacteria; Bacillati; Bacillota; Bacilli; Caryophanales; Staphylococcaceae
Description: partial 23S ribosomal RNA
Rfam family: Bacterial large subunit ribosomal RNA
Source: RNAcentral